UGGGGAAUAUUGCACAAUGGGCGAAAGCCUGAUGCAGCGACGCCGCGUGAGGGAUGACGGCCUUCGGUUUGUAAACCUCUUUCAGUAGGGACGAAGCGCAAGUGACGGUACCUGCAGAAGAAGCACCGGCUAACUACGUGCCAGCAGCCGCGGUAAUACGUAGGGUGCGAGCGUUUUCCGGAAUUACUGGGCGUAAAGAGCUCGCAGGCGGUUUGUCACGUCGUCUGUGAAAUCCUAGGGCUUAACCCUGGACGUGCAGGCGAUACGGGCUGACUUGAGUACUACAGGGGAGAGUGGAAUUUCUGGUGUAGCGGUGGAAUGCACAGAUAUCAGGAAGAACACCGAUGGCGAAGGCAGGUCUCUGGGUAGUAACUGACGCUGAGGAGCGAAAGCAUGGGUAGCGAACAGG
This 409-nucleotide ribosomal RNA is filed under the name bacterium. Its description in RNAcentral is "partial 16S ribosomal RNA". It matches the Rfam family "Bacterial small subunit ribosomal RNA", at positions 355 to 776 of the family's 1533-position model. The record is from RNAcentral.